GCUGCAGGUAUGGAGCCAGGGUGUUCCAGGCUGCUCUGAAGUCCUCUGAUUUUGCACUCCUGUUUGUCUCAUUUCAGUCCCACCCACCUACCUCCUUUGCAGCUUGCUCACUUAUUUUGAGAAAAGGCUGCCUGGGGUGCACCUUCCUCUGAGGAAGCCGAAGUGGAAAUUAAAGUUCCUGGAUUUUUCAAAACCGACUUUCCAGAAUCUGUUCUUGAAAAGUGUUCAUUAUCCAAACGAAAUUAUCCUUACGUGUUGAACAUCACAGGCUAAGGGAAGCAUACAACUAGAAAGAAACUCUGCUUGUAAUUAAAUCAUAACUUAAUGAAGUAAGUGACAUGUUGAUCUGUUUCACUGCUCACAUAUCUGGGAUUGUGGGUUGCAUA
This 386-nucleotide long non-coding RNA is filed under the name Dasypus novemcinctus (nine-banded armadillo). RNAcentral's name for it is "lncRNA (ENSDNOG00000050344.1)". Lineage: Eukaryota; Metazoa; Chordata; Mammalia; Cingulata; Dasypodidae. The record is from RNAcentral.